UCCAGAGGCCCCAAGCGUUACUGAGAAUCACUGGGUUUAAAGGGUGCGUAGGUGGUCCGUUAAGUUCGUUGUGAAAGCCCUGGGCUCAACCCAGGAACUGCUUCGAAUACUGGCGGACUUGAGGCUAGUAGAGGUCACUGGAACUGACGGUGGAGCGGUGAAAUGCGUAGAUAUCGUCAGGAACGCCAAUGGUGAAGACAGGUGACUGGGCUAGAUCUGACACUGAGGCACGAAAGCGUGGGGAUCAAACGGG
RNAcentral lists this ribosomal RNA (253 nucleotides) under uncultured bacterium. RNAcentral describes it as "partial 16S ribosomal RNA". It matches the Rfam family "Bacterial small subunit ribosomal RNA", at positions 524 to 776 of the family's 1533-position model. The record is from RNAcentral.